Molecule: long non-coding RNA, 2583 nt
Organism: Hypanus sabinus (Atlantic stingray)
Lineage: Eukaryota; Metazoa; Chordata; Chondrichthyes; Myliobatiformes; Dasyatidae
Exons: 3
Source: RefSeq, a predicted model, not a curated record
GCCCUUUAUUGAACUCCAAAAACACUGAAAGCGUUGUAAAAGUCCUUCAUGUAAUUGCAGCAUCGGCCUCUGAGAGUGAACCCCAACUCAGUGUUGGUGGGUGUGAAUUAUGCAUGUUUCCAGCAAUUACGCUACCCUAGGCAACCCUCCCCACCCUUCCAGGGUUCACUAAAACUGCCAUUGUGAGCCUGUCCAGAACUCGGAUGAACCGCCCGGCUCGGUCCUAUGCAGUCAGGUAGUGUUCAUGGGUUCAGUGUCCAUUCUGGAAUCAGGGGACAGAGGGGAAGAAGCUGCCCCUAUUGAUUUGGGCUUCACCUUAAGAGGCUGGCCUGACAUGAAUAUGUAAUUCCGUAAAGGACUUUUGCCGCACUUUGAGCUCAGUUUGGAGUUUAAUAAAUGACUCGUUAACGCUUUUUGUUAAACAUAAAACGCCUCAUGUCAUUUUAUUUGCAAAAACCUACUUAGGUGACAGCGACGUGAUGCCGGUGGUUGUCAAUUACAUACAUCUCCGCCAAUUACGUUACCCUACAGUCUCAACCGGGGUGUAACGUGGAGGCAGGCUCACGGGUUUGGUGAGAGAGAGAGAGCGAGAGAGACAGAAGACACUGACUACAAAUAAAUAUGUUGAUCAAUGAUUUUCAAACAGUAAAGGAUUCAACCAAACAGCUAGACUACACAAACUACAAAACUGAAUACUCAACAAGCAGGCACUUAGAAGAAAGUACGCAGCUAGCAUACCUUCCCGACGAUUCUGUGAGGUGUGCACUGGGAACAACAGGACUUUAUACCUGGGGCGUCUGAACCCAGACCCCAGGUGCCGUGGCGCUCAAGCCAACCAAUGGAAGCGCGGCAGCUUUUAAACUGACCAAUCGGCGAUCGACACAGCGGAAGCGGCAUUUGACUGGAAAGUAAGCCACACCCCCACACUACACAUGGCCCUGACAGUGGUGCUCACUCCUCUCAGUUAGAAUAGCCAAGGCUUUUAGGCCCUCUCCAGACUGACACUGAAGAACUGCUCUACUGUUUGAGUUAGUCCUGACAAAGGGUCUCGGCCCGAAACAUCGACAGCGUUUCUCCCUAUAGAUGGUGCCUGGCCUGCUGCGUUCCACCAGCAUUUUGUGUGUGUUGCUUGAAUUUCCAGCAUCUGCAGAUUUCCUCGUGUUAACCUAAUAGCCGGUAUGUCUUUGGACUGUGGGAGGAAACCGGAGCUCCUGGUCACGGGGAGAAGUGUCUGAGGCUUCUCGCUGAAGCUUCCAACAAUAAUCAACCAGCAUUGAUGGAUUCCAGUUGCUUUGAUAUUGUUUCUCUCUGACCGCGAUGCCCUGGUGGAACCUUUCUCCGUGCGCUUCACAGACAUUGCCGAGAUUUGCAAGGAAGAAGUCUAAAUGGAAUGCAGAAAAUGAAUCUUUAGUGACACGUUGCCUGAAGCACGUUGUCAACCAGCUGCACGCAGUUUGGUGCUCUGUAGUUACCAAAAACAUUUUCGACGACUUCCUCGAAUGCCUUCCAUGUGAUUUUCUCCGGUCCCACUAGAAGCUUGAUGUUGAUGACCUGUUUGAUUUGUGGACUAACAAAAACACCUUCCUUAAUCUUGGCAUCGGUUAUUCUGACAUGACUUGUGAAUUGAAAUAGCAACUAUAGGCGAUUUUUAAAAAAUGGUGUGUGAUAGGGAAAUUUCAUGAUCAGCAGCUCAAAAUUCAUCAGGUACACCCAAAAGUCUUCAGGAAAGCAAAAUCUUUGUUGUCUAGGGUAAUAAAUAGAUAUAGGCAUCCAUUAGUCUCAUGAGACCAUGGAUUUGUGCCUUGGAAAGUUCCCAGAGCGUAGGCCUGGGCAGGGUUGUAUGGAAGACUGGCAGUUGCCCAUGCUGCAAGCCUUCCCCUCUCCACGCCACCAAUGUUGUCCAAGGGAAGGGCAUUAGGACCCAUGCAGCUUGGCACUGGUGUUGUUGCAGAGCAAUGUGUGGUUAAGUGCUUUGCUAAAGGACACAAACACGUUGCCUUAGCUGAGGCUCGAACUAGCGACUUUCAGGUCACAAAACCAACGCCUUAACCACUUGGUGUAGGUAGAUAGAUAAUACUGAGAACAUGUGAAGUAGAGUCCUUGAAAGUGAGUCCAUUGGUUGUGCAACCAGUUCAGUGUUGAGGUGAUUGAAGUUACCCACAUUGGUUGAAGGGUAAUAACUGCUCCUGAUCCUGGUGGUGUGGGACCUAAGCUCUUGUACCUCCUUCCCAAUGACCACAGCGAGUUAAGAGCAUGACCUGGAUGGUGGGGGUCUUUGUUGAUGGAUACUGCUUUCUUGUGGCAGCACUCAUGGUAGAUGUGAUCAAAGUAGGAUAUAGCUCUUCCCGUGAUGGACUGGGAUGUAUCUUCAAGAAGGGAGAGAAGCAGAAGAAAGGAAACUAUAGGCUAGUUAUUCUGACCUCAGUGGUGGGAAAAUGUUGGAGUCAAUUAUUAAAGAUGAGAUCCCAAGGUACUUGGAGGCACAUGAUGAAAUAGGCCUCGUCAGCAUGGUUUUCUCAAGGGAAAAUCUUGCCUGACAAAUCUGUUGGAGUUAUUUGAGGAAAUAACAAGCAGGAUAGACAA